GAUCAUGGGCUCAGGAUGAACGCUAGCUACAGGCUUAACACAUGCAAGUCGAGGGGCAGCAUGACGAUAGCUUGCUAUUGUUGAUGGCGACCGGCGCACGGGUGAGUAACGCGUAUCCAACCUUCCCGUUGCUAGGGGAUAACCUUGCGAAAGUAAGACUAAUACCCUAUGAAGUUCUUCGCAGGCAUCUAAAGAGAACGAAAGAUUUAUCGGCAACGGAUGGGGAUGCGU
This 231-nucleotide ribosomal RNA is filed under the name uncultured bacterium. RNAcentral describes it as "partial 16S ribosomal RNA". It matches the Rfam family "Bacterial small subunit ribosomal RNA", at positions 15 to 236 of the family's 1533-position model. The record is from RNAcentral.